GUCCUUGCCGUAAACGAUGUGGAUUAGGUGUCGGGGGUGUCGAUCCCUCCGGUGCCGACGCUAACGCAUUAAAUCCACCACCUGGGGAGUACGGCCGCAAGGCUGAAACUCAAAGAAAUUGACGGGGACCCGCACAAGCGGUGGAGCAUGUGGUUUAAUUCGAGGCUACGCGAAGAACCUUACCCAGGCUUGACAUGUAGUUGUAAACUAAUGAAAGUUAGUCCCUUCGCAAGAAGCGAUUACACAGGUGCUGCAUGGCUGUCGU
Molecule: ribosomal RNA, 265 nt
Filed under: uncultured bacterium
Lineage: Bacteria
Description: partial 16S ribosomal RNA
Rfam family: Bacterial small subunit ribosomal RNA
Source: RNAcentral